This is a small nucleolar RNA of Elgaria multicarinata webbii, 136 nucleotides long. RefSeq annotates it as small nucleolar RNA SNORA17. NCBI's taxonomy places the organism in Eukaryota, Metazoa, Chordata, Lepidosauria, Squamata, Anguidae. The transcript has a single exon. The record is from RefSeq and is a predicted model, not a curated record.
ACUGCCCCUGUAGAGACGUAAAUACGACUGCCGUGUCGUUUUUAUGCCAGGCGGAGGCAGACAGGAAAUGGUGGCAGCCUGGAAAUCUUCAUCCUUGGAGAAUUGGGAUGAAAGAUGAUGAUAGCUGCUCGACAGC